AACGAACGCUGGCGGCAUGCCUAACACAUGCAAGUCGAACGAGACCUUCGGGUCUAGUGGCGCACGGGUGCGUAACGCGUGGGAACCUGCCCUUAGGUUCGGAAUAACUCCCCGAAAGGGGUGCUAAUACCGGAUAAUGUCUUCGGACCAAAGAUUUAUCGCCUUUGGAUGGGCCCGCGUUGGAUUAGCUGGUUGGUAGGGUAAAAGCCUACCAAGGCGACGAUCCAUAGCUGGUCUGAGAGGAUGAUCAGCCACACUGGGACUGAGACACGGCCCAGACUCCUACGGGAGGCAGCAGUGGGGAAUAUUGGACAAUCGGCGAAAGCCUGAUCCAGCAAUGCCGCGUGAGUGAUGAAGGCCUUAGGGUUGUAAAGCUCUUUUACCCGGGAUGAUAAUGACAGUACCGGGAGAAUAAGCUCCGGCUAACUCCGUG
This 433-nucleotide ribosomal RNA is filed under the name uncultured bacterium. Its description in RNAcentral is "partial 16S ribosomal RNA". It matches the Rfam family "Bacterial small subunit ribosomal RNA", at positions 29 to 507 of the family's 1533-position model. The record is from RNAcentral.